RNAcentral lists this ribosomal RNA (200 nucleotides) under uncultured Glomus. RNAcentral's name for it is "partial small subunit ribosomal RNA". It matches the Rfam family "Eukaryotic small subunit ribosomal RNA", at positions 591 to 789 of the family's 1831-position model. Lineage: Eukaryota; Fungi; Glomeromycota; Glomeromycetes; Glomerales; Glomeraceae. The record is from RNAcentral.
CCAAUAGCGUAUAUUAGUGUUGUUGCGGUUAAAAAGCUCGUGGUUGAAUUUCGGGAUUGGGAUAUAUCGGUCAUGCCUUUAGGGGCAUGAAUCGGUGUGUAGCCAAUUUCUCACCUUCUGGUGAAUUGGGAUGCUCUUGGGUGUUUCAAUGAACUAGGACUUUUACUUUGAAAAAAAUAUAGUGUUUAAAGCGGGCAUUU